GAUGAACGCUGGCGGCAUGCCUAAUACAUGCAAGUCGAGCGAACAGAUGAAGUGCUUGCACUUCUGACGUUAGCGGCGAACGGGUGAGUAACACGUAAGGAAUCUACCUAUAAGCGGGGGAUAACAUUCGGAAACGGGCGCUAAUACCGCACAAUAUCUUCUUCCGCAUGGAAGAAGAUUGAAAGACGGCUCUGCUGUCACUUAUAGAUGACCUUGCGGUGCAUUAGUUAGUUGGUGGGGUAAUGGCCUACCAAGACGAUGAUGCAUAGCCGACCUGAGAGGGUGAUCGGCCACAUUGGGACUGAGACACGGCCCAAACUCCUACGGGAGGCAGCAGUAGGGAAUCUUCCGCAAUGGGCGAAAGCCUGACGGAGCAAUGCCGCGUGAGUGAAGAAGGCCUUCGGGUCGUAAAACUCUGUUAUAAGAGAAGAACAAAUUGUAGAGUAACUGCUACAGUCUUGACGGUAUCUUAUCAGAAAGCCACGGCUAACUACGUGCCAGCCGCUGCCGUAA
Molecule: ribosomal RNA, 513 nt
Filed under: uncultured bacterium
Lineage: Bacteria
Description: partial 16S ribosomal RNA
Rfam family: Bacterial small subunit ribosomal RNA
Source: RNAcentral